Molecule: long non-coding RNA, 580 nt
Filed under: Homo sapiens (human)
Lineage: Eukaryota; Metazoa; Chordata; Mammalia; Primates; Hominidae
Description: novel transcript
Source: RNAcentral
CCUGACAUGGAUUAUAACUGUACUUGAUGGAGCACAGUUAUAAUAGCUGCUUUAGAGUCCUUGAUAAUUCCCACAUCUGAGUCAUCUCAAGUUAUUUUUGGCAGAUUUUGAUGGAUGUACAUUGAUGGAUAGCCACGUGGAUCCAGAAAAUAAAGACUUCUACUCUGCAUUUGACUAAAGCAGAAGAUAUGCAAGGAAGCUCAGUCUCUCAAUUGAGUGGAUUCUGAAAUUUAUCCUGUUGUCUUCAGCUACUAAGGCUAAUUUGCAAAUCACACUGUGCACGGAAUGUGUGUGUCCCACCCCUGCAGUACUUCAGCAUUCUGAGGUAACAAGACAGUUGGCUUACUGCAUCUUAGAAAGGCUUAUUGAUUUUGUUAUUGCUACAACUAUCAUGGAAGCAGAGGCAGCAAUUUCUCAAGCCUAGUUCCAAAAGGAUUAAACCUGACAAAGAUUUAUAAACAACCUGUUCAGUGGCUGCUGAUUAACUCCCCAAGAUUGAUGUACUGAAGAAGGAUGACCUCCCCUUGACACCAAUGCUACUAGUCAAUAACGACCACUGUGACUCAGAACAAAUUCUCUG